RNAcentral lists this transfer RNA (76 nucleotides) under Woeseiaceae bacterium. RNAcentral's name for it is "tRNA-Thr". It matches the Rfam family "tRNA". Rfam says of the family: Transfer RNA (tRNA) molecules are approximately 80 nucleotides in length. Their secondary structure includes four short double-helical elements and three loops (D, anti-codon, and T loops). Further hydrogen bonds mediate the characteristic L-shaped molecular structure. tRNAs have two regions of fundamental functional importance: the anti-codon, which is responsible for specific mRNA codon recognition, and the 3' end, to which the tRNAs corresponding amino acid is attached (by aminoacyl-tRNA synthetases). tRNAs cope with the degeneracy of the genetic code in two manners: having more than one tRNA (with a specific anti-codon) for a particular amino acid; and 'wobble' base-pairing, i.e. permitting non-standard base-pairing at the 3rd anti-codon position. The record is from RNAcentral. Lineage: Bacteria; Pseudomonadati; Pseudomonadota; Gammaproteobacteria; Woeseiales; Woeseiaceae.
GCCGGUAUAGCUCAGUUGGUAGAGCGCCUCAUUCGUAAUGAGGAAGUCCUUGGUUCGAAUCCGAGUACCGGCACCA